AAUCAACGCUGGCGGCGUGCCUCAGACAUGCAAGUCGAACGCUGCUGUUCGCCUUCGGGUGGACAGCGGAGUGGCGCACGGGUGAGUAACACGUAGGUAAUCUACCUUUGGGUGGGGAAUAACAGCCGGAAACGGCUGCUAAUACCGCAUAAUGCAGCGGCAUCACAUGAUGACAGUUGUUAAAGCGGGGGAGUCGUAAGACCUCGCGCCUGAAGAGGAGCCUGCGGCAGAUUAGGUAGUUGGUGAGGUAAUGGCUCACCAAGCCUGCGAUCUGUAACCGGCCUGAGGAGGGCGGUCGGUCACACUGACACUGACAUACGGGUCAGACUCCUACGGGAGGCAGCAGUCGGGAAUUUUGGGCAAUGGGCGCAAGCCUGACCCAGCAACGCCGCGUGAAGGAUGAAGUUUCUCGGAAUGUAAACUUCAUAAGAAUGGGAAGAAUAAGUAGGGGCUAAUACCCUCUAUGAUGACGGUACCAUUUGUAAGC
RNAcentral lists this ribosomal RNA (487 nucleotides) under uncultured bacterium. RNAcentral's name for it is "bacterial SSU rRNA". It matches the Rfam family "Bacterial small subunit ribosomal RNA", at positions 32 to 491 of the family's 1533-position model. The record is from RNAcentral.